UUCAGUUUUUCUUCCGUAGAGGAUCGGUGCUCACUUUUGAAAUGAGGUCCUCUGAUGUUACCAGCAGGCCAUGCUCCACCUUGGGCAGACAGAGGUCCUAGGGACUUCAGUCUGCAUUCUCAGACUUACGUGGGGUUUCUGGAGUAAAGCCACUGCCUCAUCUUGCUAUGAUCACCAGGCUCCUUUUCAGCAUGGUCCUUUGUUUCUUGAGAGCAGAACCAACAGUUGCUGGCGUUACCCAAACACCCAGGUCCAAAGUGACAGAGAAAGGACAAGAAGCAACUCUGAGAUGUGAACCAAUUUCAGGACACGAUAGUGUUUUCUGGUACAAGCAGACCACUAUGCAGGGAAUGGAAUUCCUGAUUUUCUUUCGCAACCAGGCUCCUAUAGAUGACAAAGGGAUGCCCAAGGAACGAUUCUCAGCUCAGAUGCCCAAUUCGAAGCUCUCCACUCUGAUGAUCCAGGCAGCACAGCCCCAGGACUCAGCUGUGUAUCUCUGUGCCAGCAGCUUAGUCACAGAGCUACAGAAUCACAUCCAACUGGGGCAGAAACCCUAUAUGCUUUCCCUUCCCUGUCCAUCUCCCAGAAACAGUUCUCAGAGGUGUUCCUGGGGAGUUCUCAGAACAGGAAGGAUGUGGGCUUAAUGUCUUCUGUGUUCCUAGAGAAGAC
This is a non-coding RNA of Mesocricetus auratus (golden hamster), 669 nucleotides long. The record is from the annotation of a RefSeq genome assembly. Lineage: Eukaryota; Metazoa; Chordata; Mammalia; Rodentia; Cricetidae.